This 335-nucleotide long non-coding RNA is filed under the name Gossypium raimondii (Peruvian cotton). RNAcentral's name for it is "long non-coding RNA (GRAI_LNC003069)". Lineage: Eukaryota; Viridiplantae; Streptophyta; Magnoliopsida; Malvales; Malvaceae. The record is from RNAcentral.
AAAUUAGGAGUUAUCGGAGGUUAUGAAUGAGAAUAAAAAAACCGACAAGUUUCAAGCUUUUACGGGAAAGAGCUACACAUUAGGUGGUGGGUGAUCAUUCUUGAAAAUCUUAAUAUUGGUUUUUAGUGGUGGGUGAUCUUAGCUGGAUAUUUAUUGAUUCAAAAUCUUAAUAUUGAUUUUUAGUUUUUUUUUUAUUUCAAUUAAAAUCAACACUUUCUAGGUUUUUUUUUUUGGGUUUAAUUUUAUUUUUAAUAUUUUAUAUGUUUUUUUAUUAGGUUUCGAACUGUGCUAUCCCAUCCCCUACUCUUAAUAUUGUAUAUAAAAAAGAUUGUUAG